RNAcentral lists this ribosomal RNA (396 nucleotides) under uncultured bacterium. Its description in RNAcentral is "partial 16S ribosomal RNA". It matches the Rfam family "Bacterial small subunit ribosomal RNA", at positions 523 to 918 of the family's 1533-position model. The record is from RNAcentral.
AUACGUAGGGGGCGAGCGUUGUCCGGAAUGAUUGGGCGUAAAGGGCGCGUAGGCGGCCCGGUAAGUCUGGAGUGAAAGUCCUGUUUUUAAGAUGGGAAUUGCUUUGGAUACUGUCGGGCUUGAGUGCAGGAGAGGUAAGUGGAAUUCCCAGUGUAGCGGUGAAAUGCGUAGAGAUUGGGAGGAACACCAGUGGCGAAGGCGACUUACUGGACUGUAACUGACGCUGAGGCGCGAAAGUGUGGGGAGCAAACAGGAUUAGAUACCCUGGUAGUCCACGCUGUAAACGAUGAUGACUAGGUGUGGGGGGACUGAACCCUUCCGUGCCGCAGUUAACACAAUAAGUCAUCCACCUGGGGAGUUCGGCCGCAAGGUUGAAACUCAAAGGAAUUGACGGGG